RNAcentral lists this ribosomal RNA (456 nucleotides) under Triticum aestivum (bread wheat). Its description in RNAcentral is "partial small subunit ribosomal RNA". The record is from RNAcentral. Lineage: Eukaryota; Viridiplantae; Streptophyta; Magnoliopsida; Poales; Poaceae.
AUGAAAAUCAACAAAUUGUUUGCAACACACACUUUCUUGUAUACCACGUACUUAUCCAUCAAGAACCUGGACGAAUGUUCAUUAGCACAAACUGUAAAAGUGAGCUGUCAAAAACACACACAGACGUUCAGUAGCAGUACGUGUAGCCAUCCAAGUACAGCCACAACAACAGCCAUCCAAGUACAACCACAGCAGCAGCCGUCGAGCAAACAAAGUGCAGUAGUAGCUCGCCUCCCAUACAGUGAGCACACACAGAUCGAACAAAAGAGGCUGGCAAGACCGGACUUCACAGGCGGCACGCCCACACCAUACACGCUGCACCCGCAUGAGCAAGAGGCGCCGCUGGGAUCCCACACGCCUCCUAUGCACCUACUCUGCUGUGUCAGCAUGCGUGGCCAUUUUCCUGGGGCUGGCGCUGCAGAGAACAUUCCUUGGCGAAGGUCAAGGUGGUCCUAG